GCCUACGGGGGGCAGCAGUGAGGAAUAUUGGUCAAUGGCCGGAAGGCUGAACCAGCCAAGUCGCGUGAGGGAAUAAGGCCCUAUGGGUCGUAAACCUCUUUUGUCAGGGAGCAAAGGCGUCCACGUGUGGACGAGAGGAGAGUACCUGAAGAAAAAGCAUCGGCUAACUCCGUGCCAGCAGCCGCGGUAAUACGGAGGAUGCGAGCGUUAUCCGGAUUUAUUGGGUUUAAAGGGUGCGUAGGCGGAGUGUCAAGUCAGCGGUAAAAUUUCGGGGCUCAACCCCGUCGGGCCGUUGAAACGGACGC
RNAcentral lists this ribosomal RNA (305 nucleotides) under uncultured bacterium. RNAcentral's name for it is "bacterial SSU rRNA". It matches the Rfam family "Bacterial small subunit ribosomal RNA", at positions 337 to 639 of the family's 1533-position model. The record is from RNAcentral.